RNAcentral lists this long non-coding RNA (13386 nucleotides) under Fragaria vesca (wild strawberry). Its description in RNAcentral is "long non-coding RNA (FVES_LNC000334)". The record is from RNAcentral. Lineage: Eukaryota; Viridiplantae; Streptophyta; Magnoliopsida; Rosales; Rosaceae.
CAAGGGUGAUUUAGUAAAUUUCAGCAUUGCCUAUAUUCUAGAUCAGCGUAGACAUUAAGUUCAGUUCAACAAAGUGGCAAGUCACCGACUUCACCACCGCCUUCACCCGGACCGACCUUGUUCUGUCUUCUUUAACCUAUAGAACCAAAUAUCUCUUCAUUCCACCUUAGUUUAAGAAAAUCCCUCAGAGACUUGUAUAUGAUAAGGAACACACUACAUCUCAUCAGAAUCCUAUCAAAUUGAAAAGACAAUUGAGGAAGCUACACGGGUGAUUCCAGCUUUGAAUCUAUUUCCGUCAGUCAUCUUCGACGGCCAGAAGCUGCAUGUUAGGUUCUUUAUUUCAGUAUGAUGUCUUCAUGAAAGUUUCUCGGAUUCGUGUCUACUAUCUUGUGCCAAAAUUUGACGAUGAUCCAACGGUUAGAUUGUCCUGAAUUGAGGUAAAACCAUCUGCUGUUCGGGGAAAUUCUGUUUUGAGAUAUAAUUUCAAUUCUGAUUCUAAUUCAAGUUUUAUGCUUCUUUCUCCUUUAAGUUCAGUUUCUCCAUGUCUUGGGUUAUCAUUCGAGUUCCUUUCUUGGAGUCUUCCUCUACCUAUGAGCCUACAGUCCGAAGAGUGACAAUCGGUAAGUUAAACUAAACCGAUUGAAUUCCUUUUCUUCUUUCUGCUGGUCAUGUCAUGUUUGAUUAGUAUUAUGCUACAUCAUACCCUUUGCCUCUGCACUCCGAUUACACGUAUUAUUAUUUCCCAUUGUUGGGUGUUGUAUAGAACCUUGCUUCCUUUUCAAUUCUUUCUUGAAGUUCCUCAUUGUAGACUAAUCUGUCAAGAUGUUGCCUAUUAUUGCUUAUUCUUGAUUUUGACAUGAUCCAUUUGACAAUAGACAUCCAAAAGCUUGUUUCAAGACUGAUUUCAUGUCAUUUGGACAUGAGAUGAAUCAUUGGUGACAGUUUUAACCAAGUAUAUGCUGCUGCAAAUUUUCAGAAAAGCUGGCAGUUCAGUCUAUGUGCUUUAAUCUUUUCCCAUACAUCAUGAACUCCGUUUUGCUUGAAAUUUUGAUAUGUUACCUUUGAAUCUGGAAAGUUUCAUACUCAUUGGUCAAGAACUGAGUUUUUAAUGAUUUUGCAAAUAUGAACAGCUCCUUCAUUCUUAUAUUUGUUCUAGUUCAUUUGGUUCCAAUCUUGUCUAGUGAAUCCCCAAUUUUAAGAGCUGUAAAUUCGUGGGAAACCUCAUUUUAAUCCUAGUUCUUGACAUGUACUCGGUACUGGUUCUUAUGAGUGACUUAAGUGUUUAGACAUUGGAAAGGUUUACACAGAAAAUGGUACAUGAAGUGACAAUCUGCGAUGUAUGUUAUUUUAGGAAUUUGGACAAGUGUUAUGGGCUGCUAUCAAUGGAGGACCAGGUUGUUAACAAUGAUGAAGGACUAGUAUUGGAGCAUUAUGUACGUUGCUAUCUUGCUGUUGCUAAAUGAUUUGAGGUAGGGAGCCUUCACCCUAGUUAGUGUUUUAUACACUGCUUUACUAUUUGAAAAAUGGAUUAUGAUUUAAAGCAUGAGUUUAUGAGAUGACUUGAGAGUGAGCGGGGUGUAGUCGGUUGUGCAUAAAACAACCUCCCAAGCCCAUAAACCAGCAGGCAUUCCACCAUUACCGAGGCCGCUACGAAGUACCCACCAAUAAGCAGGGUGGGCCGGGCCCAACCUCAAUUGCAGUCUUGGGCCGGGAACAGUCUUGGAAGGUGUAAGGAAACUGGGUGUUUGAAGUAACAGCAAAGGGGAAUUGUCCCACAUCGGUUUCCAAGCAGAGGAAAGCCCACUCUGAGCCAUAAAUAUGGCCAAGCCACCAGUUUGUCAGGUAAUAAUAACUACCCCUAAUAACUGCAUUCAACCAACUGAGACUGACUUAAUCUUCGGAGAAGGAAAGACCGGAAGUUCUCGGUCGCCCAUGUUAUUGCAGGUCAGCAAGAGGAUAGCCGACCUUCCACCAGGCACAGUAUCAGCUUCUACAAACCCGUCCGGGAUUGUACAGAAACAUUUGGCGCCGUCUGUGGGAAUCUUUACAAAAGCCAGCGUGACUCGAUGGCUGAGUUAUCCGAGCAGAAAGACCAGGAGAGGGAGGUAAUAUUAAGUAAGACCUCGGAAGCUGCAAGGGGAAGUUCGAGAAUUACUGGGAGAACCCUGAGGGAUGAAACACCCGAGCAUGUGUCGCGGGAUCUCAAUCCUUAAGAAAUAGCCAAAAUGUUGGAAAAUAUGAGGGCCCAAAUCACUCGGCUGGAACAUCAAAAUGCCCACGAUCGAGUGGAAGCCUCCAGGCGCGAGCGCAGGUUGGAAAGGGAUAAUGCCACGCUCAUGAGUGCGCUGGCCCGGGGAGUGGAGCAUCGGGAGGCAUUAGACCGAGCGGGGGAGUUGGAUUGGGCGGUCACGUCACAGCAGACCGGCACUCCGGAGGGGGGCGGCCGUAGGACCGUGCAUAUAGGAACGAACUUGUUCCCGGAUGAAAUGCAGGAUGAGGGACCGCUGCCCUUGCCCGAGCCAAUCCCGCAAGUCCAAGAUGGAAGGCAAGGAGAGAUGGAAGAAACCCUAAGAGCUAUCCGGGAUAGCGUGGCGAGUUUGGCUGAAAGAAUCACGGAUGCCGAGAGAAGGGGGACGCGUAACCCAACUCGCGCGAGUUUCGAAGAAAGGGGGGGACAGUUGACGAGAGCGAUCACCCGGUCCGUUAGACCAAGCGCAGCCAAGCCACUGAAACUUAGUUACAAUAGGGAUCGAGACCCCCAUCUCUUCCUCGAUAGUUUCAAGUCUCACACGAACGCUAAAGGGUACCCGGAUGCAAUAUGUUGCAAUAUGUUCCAGGAAACCUUAGUAGGGGAAGCACUAAGUUGGUUCUAUGGUUCUAUGAGCUCCCGUCGAACUCGGUCGAUUGCUUCCAGGAACUGGCAGACAGGUUCGUCAAUAGAUUCAUUUUACGAACGGACGGACAGAACACCACCCAGUUGUUCAAAGUAAAGCAAGAUAGGGGUGAGGGGUUGAAAGCUUUUGUGAAUAGAUGGCAAGGUGCAACGGCCAGAGUCAGGAACUUUGACAAGAAAGUGGCAGAAGAAGCGUUCAUUCAAGGACUGCUUCUCGGGAAAUUUAUGUAUGUAGUAAAAAUCGAAUGUCCACAAGGCUACGAUGAGCUUAUGGAAAUGGCGGUCAGGCAUGCACAAGCAGACCAUGAUACAUAUGGAGGGAUCUCGGCCGGGAAGCGAAAGGUCGGAGGGGAAGGAGGAUCGCCGGUACAAGUGAUCCAAGAGAUAAGGGCUUGGACGGGGGAGCAAGAGUCGAACUCGCACCCAGCUGGAAAGAGGCACAAGGAGAGAAGCUGGGUGAAAGCAAGGAAACAGCAUAACACGCAAAGGAAGGCAAAAGGACCCUACCAAGAUACCGGGUACGCGAAAACGAUACCGGCAGGUGAGGAGCAUUUUUCAACGCUCAACGCCACCUAUGAGGCGAUAUGGAACGAGAAUAAAUCGGUCAUACCGCCUCCCCCGGCCCGAAUAUUUCCCCCAUCUCGGCUCACCAAGGAAGAUACCAAAAAAUUUUAUGCGUAUCACGGGGAGGCAAGUCAUAACAUCAACAGCUGCAUAGAAUUGAAAAAAACGGUAGAGCGCCGGGUGCAAGAAGGAAAAUUGCAGCAGUAUGUGCCCGGGCCUAGGCACGUUGGGGCAAUUGAAGUAUAUGAGACAAUCAACACAAUCCAUGGCGGGUCUCGUAUAGAUAACAGGAGGAACAAGGCAAAAAGAUAGUGCAUGGGACAGAGGGACGGCCGGGAGGUCUAUGCCUUUGGAAGCAGCAAUAGCCAAUGGGUAACCACAGGUUGGAAGUCCGUUACCUUCCUGGAAGAGGAAGAGGAGGGAAUAAGGCCGCACGAGGAUCCGUUCCUGAUAACGCUGCAGCUCGAUCACUAUAUCACAAAGAAGAUCCUCGUUGAUACGGGAGCCUCAGUCAACGUAUUAUUCAGGAAUGCUUGGAAAUGAUUACAUCGAGGAAGCAAUAAGUUGAUACAAAACCAUGAGCCAUUGAUUAGUUUCUCGGGCGAUGUUGUUCAGCGGCUCGAACAGUUUCAGAGUAAGCAUGGAAGGCCGGGAGGGAGUUGCCCGAGCGGUAAUAGAAUUCAUCAUUGUGGACUGUGAGUCGUCUUACAACGGAAUCUUGGGUAGGCCCGCUUUGUGGAAGCUAAAGUCCUUCGUGGCUGGUCAUAUGUUGGUAAUGAAGCUCCCAACUUCAACAUGAAUCAUUACGGUCUGGGGGGACCAGGGGGCGGCAAGGAGCUGCUAUGCGAUAGAUACCGGAAGGAAAAGGUCAGAGGUUACUGUCAGCGAGCCCAGCCACAACAUCCUCCUCGGAUCCUUAUAUUGAUCCCAGAGAUGAUAUCGACUUGGAUGAGGAGCGUCCUGGGUCAGUGGAAAAAACGGAAGCGGUAUCAAUCUCUGACGAGUUCCCGGAGCGGAAGUUGACAAUUGGGACAGGACAUGCACCCAGGGUGCGAGCGGCCUUGAUAGAUUUCCUGAAAAGAAACAGUGGGGCAUUCGCUUGGACAUAUAAGGACAUGCCCGGGAUAUCAAGUGGAAUAGUAACACAUAAGCUAGGAAUCUAGAAAGGAUUCCCUCCCGUGCGGCAAAAGCGAAGAACGUUCAAGCUGGAGAAGUAUGAAGCCAUGAGGGGGGGAGGUUCAAAAGCUGAUGGAUAUCAGGUUCAUUAGGGAGGCUAGAUACCCCUAAUGGUUAGCCAAUGUGGUCAUGGUCCCAAAAAAGUCAACAUGAAAGUGGAGAAUGUGCGUGGACUAUUCAAAUCUCAACAGAGCAUGUCCAAAAGAUAGCUUCCCGCUUCCACGCAUAGAUCAACUGGUGGACUCCACGUUGGGGUUCGAAUUGCUGAGCUUUAUGGACGCUUACGCGGGCUAUAACCAGAUCCAAAUGGAUCCAAGGGAUGAGGAGCACACGGCCUUCACGACCGACAAGGGCCUGUACUGCUAUAAGGUAAUGCCUUUCGGAUUAAAAAAUGCGGGAGCCACUUAUCAACGGCUGAUGAAUGUCAUGUUCGCCGAGUACCUCGGGAAGAUAAUGGAAGUAUAUGUCGAUGACAUGCUGGUCAAAAGUCUAAAAGCCAAGGAGCAUGUAGGGCAUCUAGAGAAAUUCUUCGAGGUCAUACUGAGGUUCGGGAUGAGAUUGAACCCUCAGAAAUGCGUCUUCGGGGUCGUCAAAGGGAAAUUCUUGGGCCACAUAGUCAGCCGGAGGGGAAUUGCAGCCAACCCAGAGAAAGUCAGGGCCAUCUUAGAUAUGGAAAGACCCACGUCGAGGAACCAAGUGCAAUCGUUGGCCGAGAAGGUUGUCGCACUGGCUAGGUUUGUAUCACGACUCACGGACAAGUGUGCCCCCUUCUUCCGUUUGUUAAGAGACCAGAGAUGUAAGGAGAUAGUAUGGGGAUCCGAGCAGGAGGAGGCCUUCAAGCAGAUAAAGGCGUACCUCAUGACUGCACCGGUUCUGUCAAAGCCUAUCCCGAGCGAGAUGCUUUAUCUGUAUAUCGCCGCAUCAGUGUCAGCAGUUAGCUCGAUCUUGAUAAGAAAAGAGUCCGACAUCGAGCACGCUGUAUUUUACGCCAGGAAGGGAUUCACACCUGCAGAGAGCAGGUACCCGGACGUCGAGAAAUUAGCUCUGACUUUAUUGUAACCGCUAGAAGGCUCAAGCACUAUUUCUAGGCGUACUCGAUAACCGUUUACACCAACCACCCCUAAGGCAGAUCAUGCAAAAGCCAGAAAUCAGCGGAAGGUUGGUGAAAUGGGCAAUUGAAUUGGGGGAAUUUGACAUCCAUUACCGGCCGAGAGUGGCAGUCAAGGGCCAAGCAGCAGCUGACUUUAUAUCUAAACUCACACCCAUGAAAGUUGUGGGAGAGUCAGUUGAGCUCACGCCUAUGAAAGUCACGGGAGAAUCAUCGAAGCCCGCCCUUACGGAAUUCGUUGGCGAAUCCUCCCAGGCCGGCCGGGAGGAAAAGUGUCCCGGAGAAGGCAAGGAUAAGUACAUCGAGGAACCGCUGGCACGACUUUGGAAGCUUUUUGUUGACGGAUCAGUGACAAGAAAGAAAUGUGGGGCGGGAAUAAUAUUGGAAACCCUCGACGGAUUCAAGCAUGAAUAUGCCUUAGAGUUCCAAUUUCACGCCUCGAACAAUGCAGCAGAGUAUGAGGCCUUGAUUGGGGGACUUCAACUCGCCCGAGAUAUUGGCGUGGAUAGAGUGGAGGUGUUCAGUGAUUCACAGCUGGUUGUGAAUCAAGUCAAUGGGAGCUUCGAAGCAAAGGAGCCUCAUUUGAGCUCCUACCAAGCACUUUCAAAAGCCUUCAUGCAACGCUUCAAAUCUGUCUCUCUCUCCCACAUCCCACGGAAGAAAAACAGUAAUGCAGAUGCUCUCGCCUGGUUAGCCACCGAAGGGCCUGGGAAAGGCAGAAAGAAGGCAAGGAUAGAGAGGUGCUUGGACAGCCGAGUAUCACUAAGACAAUCUCAGAGUUAUUCAUGGUCGAGGCGGGACCCCUGGAGCCAACAUGGAUGAACCCAAUAGUUAAGUUCAUGAAGGAUGGGGUGCGCCUGGAAGACAGGCGGCAAGCACGAAAAUUACAAUCGAGAUGCGCCAGGUACACACUAAUGAACGGGGAGCUAUACAGAAGAGGUUACAAUUUCUCAAACCUCAAGUGCGUGACAGAGGAAGAAGGAGAAGUAAUCAUGGGAGAAAUUCACGAAGGGGUAUGCGGGAAUCACUCCGGGUCCCGGUCGUUAGCGCACAAGGCACUACACACAGGGUUCUUCUGGCCUAACAUGGGAGCCAUGGCAGAUAAGAUGUCGGCGAGAUGUCGUAAAUGCCAUUUGCACGCUAACGGGAUACAUUCCCCUUCUGUCGCUUUGUCAAUCUUAUUAUCGCCCUGGCCUUUCGCACAAUGAGGCCUUGACCUCAUCGAGAUACUGCCAACAACAUCAGGGCAGUUCAAGUACGUGAUAGUGGCUGUUGACUAUUUCACGAAAUGGGUGGAGGCAGAGCCCCUGGGGAAGGUAACCACCGAGUGUGUGAAAAACUUCCUGAUGAAGAACAUUUAUUGCAGAUUCGGGGUCCCGGAGACAAUCGUUACGGACAACGGCGCACAAUUCAAUAAUAACCAUCUAAUUGAAUUCACGAAGGACAUGUCUUCGCGUCGGUGGCACACCCGCAGACCAAUGGUUAGGUGGAGGCGGUUAACAAGAUCAUUAAAAAGCUCUUGAAGAAGAAGUUAGACGACGCAAAGGGUUUGUGGGCACAAAAACUGCCGGAGGUAUUAUGGGCAAUCAGAACCACAGCAACAGAAGCAACGGGAGAAACUCCUUUCAGCAUGGCCUUUGGCACGGAGGCUGUUUUGCCAAUCGAGACGUCAAUACCAUCAGGAAGGGUCGAAAAUUUUGACGCCACAACCAAUGAGGAAGGCCUCCGUUUGAACGUUGACCUCAUCGAGGAGAAGAGGGAGCAAGCAGACUUACACAACCAAGUCUACAAGCAGCGAGUUGCACGCCACUAUAACAAUAAAGUCAGGACCCGGGUAUUGGGACUAGGGGACUGGGUAAUGAAGAAAAUCAUGACCAAGACGGCAGCCCUGGAUCCGAGCUGGGAAGGGCCGUACGAGAUAGUUGAAGAGGUCGGUCCAACAACUUUCUUUCUCCGGGAUCAGGAUGGGAUAGUCACCGGGCACCCUUGGAACACAGAGCACCUGAGAUUCUACCCAGUGUGAAAGGGGAACGAAACCCACCCUUAAAAUUUACAUUUGUAAUUAUUGCGGCCCCCGGGAGGACAAUAGUCCCGGAGGAUGCCUUUAUUCGUUUUGAAAGACUAUAUAAGAAUGGGGAAGUUAAAUUCAAAUUCCAAGGAUGGUAGUCCACCAGGAGGCAUAAGUCAAUUAAAUCACGAGUAAAUCAUUUAGGAUGGUAAUCCACCGGGAGGCAUAAGUUAAUUAAAUCACAAGUAAUAUCAAUCGGGAUGAUAUUCCACCGGGAGGCAUAAGUCAGUCGAAUACACUGUCGAGCUGGUAAAACCGAGAGGCAGAAGUUAUUAAAGUCCCCAGUAACACCGAGCGGGAUAGGCAUAAUACAAAUAUGUAGAACAAGAGAAGCAAGUAAUAAAAUUUGACGAAGAAUAAUAUAUUAAAACCCGGCAUCCGGGCAUAUACCACCAAUGGGUAUUUACAAAAUCAACCAGGAUGUACUCUCACCGGGAUAAGGCAUGAGGCCAUUGUCUUGCAAGAAAAACCAAAAAGCAAAAGCUAAAUCACAACUUAUGCGUCGCCGGGUUCCUCUUCUUCAUGCUCGUGCGACUCGGCCAAGUUGUCAUCACCAUCAACACCCUCCUCAACAGCCUUCCCGGAAGGAUCCCUUGUCUCAGGCUCUUUCUCGGUUGCUGCCUUGGACUUGGCCUCUCUUUCCUUGGCUUCUCGGGUAGCGAGCAAGUCGGCUGUCAUCUUGGCCUUGUCUAGGUAUCCAAGGCGGCUCCAGACGCCGAACUUUUCGGUGAUUCCACCCUCCCGGGCAGCCUUGAGCAUCGCUUUGAGCUCGUCCGACUCUUUAAAUUUGGCCACAGCAAGCUCGCCCUGGGCGGGCAUUUGGCCUUGUAGGUCAGCGAUCUGGUCGUCCUUCUCCUUCAGCUUAGACCGCAGCUUCGCGUUCUCCCGCUGAAGAGCGUCUACAUCGCACUCCAAGGCGAGAACUCUUUUAGCUUUUUCCUCUAGUUCUUUGGUAUGGAGGCUCAGUUUGGCGAACUUUUCGGCCAGCGAGAGUUUCUCCUUCCUCUCGGCCUCCAAAUCCUUCUCCAUCUUCUUCUUCUCGACCCUGAGAUAGCUGAUCUGGUCGUUUAGGCUGGCCAGACGCUCCUUCAUCUCGUUAGUAUCCUCGCUGACAUCAAUAGCAUAGAUAGCAAAGAGUGCCUGUAAGCAAAAUAAAUAAAAUUAGUUUAGCAUCCCGCGCAGUGAUAAAAGUGGGCAUUAAAAAGAAGAAGCUUUACCUUCAUCAACGCCUCUCGGGCGUAUCGCCGGUUCUGCUGAGGAGUGUUAGACCCCACCCUGAUCCGGUCUAGCUCAAUUCCCUUAAGAUCGCCCACCAUGCUGCGCACGAACUUUUCAUCGGCGCACCCAUACUCAUCCAGUAUCUGCCGGAUGGGGGUCUUUUGUAUCUGGGGAAGAGUAGGAGCAAGAGCACCCAAAGUAACUGGGGGGCCGACCAAGGAUCCUGCUGCCUUUUGCUUCUUCCGGGGUGGUGAGGCCCCGAACACACUCAUGCCGGUCAACGUCACGCCCUCAUCCCGCUGAGACUUCGACUUCUUGGACGACCGUUUCUUUUUCUUCUCGCCCAAACUGACGUUGACAACGUCACCGGUCCUCAAUAGCUCCUUUGCGUCAGCAGUUGGUUUCCCGUACCCUUCAUCGUUGACCUCGAGAAGUAUAGUGUCCUCCGAGACACGGGCGGUAGAGUCUGCGACAUUCACGUCGGUGCGGGAGGCCACUUUCCCUACCCCCAGUAGGCCGCUCAGCAAGUCCAUGUCUGACUCCAUGUCGCGUGGGUGUGAGGGACGGUGUUUACGCUUAGGCACUUUAGCUGAAAAUAAAACCAACAGUCAGAAUCUUGGGUACCAAUAGUCAAAAGGCCAUGGACAAGAGAAAACAGCAACAAGUGAAUCUAAUUUGGAACCCCACCAGGCAUACGUCCGAGUUCACAGUGAACCAAGACAGCCCACCGGUUCAGGUUGUACGAGCUUCGAUCCUCAUCCGAGGGUCAGGCUGCAAAUAAUCGCCCAAUGCGUCGCUUCUUGAUCUCUGACAGUGAGAAUGACUGAUCCCGAAUAUAUCUAAACCGGUUGGGCACAACAUAUGUCAGACAGUUUCUUUGCCAUCGUCCGCCGGCAAGCACGACCUUUGAACGCUAGUUAUUGUUCAUAGAUGUCGGGAGGUCAGUGACGGGAGGCAAGUAUUCCCGGGCAGCAAAUGAAACGCACCCUCGGCAAUUUUGUUUCUUCGAGUAUGAAAGGCGAUACAGGGCGCGAAACUCGUUGAUAGUUGGCCAACCCAUCUCGAACAGAUAGUACAGGCAACAGAGAGACAGCAGCUGGCGCCGUUGGUUUGGGGGAAUAUGCCCGGGAGCAAGUUGAAGCAUGCUGAGCAGAUAUGGCACGCAUUGAGGAAGCGGAAGAGAGAAGCCGUUCCUACACAUAUGUUUGUGCACAACGACGAAGCCAUCUUUCGGGCAGCAUGCCAAUUCAUCCUCAUAUAGCGCGCGGAGGGUAACAGACGACGGGAUUCCCCAGUCUUCCCGAAAUUGCUCUAUUUCGGCCGGGGUCAUGCUACAAUCAGGUUCAUCGCACACUGUGCCGUCCUCCAGUAUGUACCUCCUAGACGACGAAGAGCCGAUUACACUGGUCAUCGGGACGCCAUGAAAAACCCGGCAAACCAGUCAACGUCCCGGGCGGGUACGGCAUAAGUUACCUCAGACCUCGACGUAGGCGGACAGCUCGGGCGGGAUGGUCGACUAAUGUACUCGUCCAUCCUCUCAAUGUCAUCCACUAUCGGCCGAGAGCAUGUGCUAGCCCCACUCAAGUCGGUCGUACUUCGGGAAUCCAUCUACCCUAAUGUAACAAACCCUAAGAUCUAUUAGUAUGCGCAGCCGGGAGCAAGCGCAAAGAAAGCAGAGUAACACAGCCUAAACUCAGAAAGCCCUAGAAUCCUAAAACUCCCAAUUUCACCCAACAAAACAUAUAGAAGCAACACAAACGUAGAAAAUGCCAAAGCAGAAGCAACAGAUACAAGCAUCAAUGCAGCAGAACAGAAUGAAGAAAACCUUACCAGAUUUUCGACGCAAUAGCAACACUGGAAAUUCAGAGGUCCGAAAACACCUCGCAAUCGCAGGAUUCGGUGGUGGCGUAGUGUGGGCAGACAAAAAGCAGGAAAAACUGAGAAAGAGGACAACGGAGAAACACAGAGGACAGCAGAGAAAACAGAAACACAGAGAAAGCAGAGAAGAGUGGAGUGAAAGAGUGAAGACGAAAACGAAAGGAGGGGGAAACAUUUAUACGGGGUAAGCGAGCAGUCACCUCGAUCCACGAACCGACGCAUUUAAAAACCCAUUACCCGAAAACAAGACACCCCUGGCCAUCCGAUCAAACCGCAGGAUGGCGCCAUGUAGCUUAACUGCCGUAGCGUCUUGAAGAAGGAAAGAGCGAAGCGACGCACAUUAAUUGCUUGACAGUUAUUCAGGAAUAUUGCGACAUCCGGCGAGCAUGCAUUUAAUGCCUCUGCCACAGCUGUGCGCAAACCCACCAAGCAUAAGACCUAUCUCGGGUAAGAGUCACCGAGAUCGUAAGACCAAGCAUAAGACCUAUCUCCGGUGAGAGUCACCGAGAUCGUAAGACGAAGCAUAAGACCUAUCUCAGGUUAGAGUCACCGAGAUCCUAAGACCUAUCUCGGUCUCGGGUGAGAGUCACCGAGAUCGUAAGACCUCUCUCGGGUGAGUCACAGAGAUCAUAAGACCCAGCAUAAGACCUAUCUCGGGUGAGAAUCACCGAGAUCGUAAGACCAAGCAUAAGACCUAUCUCGGGUGAGAGUCACUGAGAUUGUAAGACCCAGCAUAAGACCUAGCUCGAGUGAGAGUCACCGGGAGGAACCAUGUGAGAAUUGCCUCUCGAAAUUGUAAGUCCUGAAUACAUGUUCCCGGGAUGCUGGGGUAUUGCAAUUUAUAUCAUCCCUUUAAAAACGGAACAAGUGGCUUGAUAAACCACGGACGGCGUUAACACCCCGUCACUCGAGUAGUAACACCGGAUGAGGAAAGGGUUCGUUACCCUCGCCUAUAAACAUGUAACACCCGUUCAACCCACGUCCUGAGUCCGGACUUGGGGGGACUAUGGGCGGGAUCCACUUGAAACAUACUGGUCUACGGGCUUAUUUUAGCAAGCCCCCACUCAAGAUGUGUCUUGAACGGGAACUUGGGGGGACUUGUAGUCGGUUGUGCAUAAAACAAUCUCCCAAGCCCGUAAACCAACAGGCAUUCCACCAUUACCGAGGCCGCCCGAAGUAGCCACCAAUAAGCAGGGUGGGCCGGGCCCAACCUCAAUAGCAGUCUUGGGCCGGGAACAGUCUUGGAAGGUGUAAGGAAACUGGGAGUUUGAAGUAACAGCAAAGGGGAAUUGUCCCACAUCGGUUUCCAAGCAGAGGAAAGCCCACUCUGAGCCAUAAAUAUGGCCCAGCCACCAGUUUGUCAGGUAAUAAUAACUACCCCUAGUAACUACAUUCAACCAACUGAGACUGACUUAAUCUUCGGAGAAGGAAAGACCGGAAGUUCCCGGUCGCCCUUAUUGCAGGUCAACAAGAGGAUAGCCGAUCUUCCACCAGGCACAGUAUCAGCUUCUGCGAACCCGUCCGGGAUUGUACAGAAACACCGGGCAUAGCGACUUCCUUGGGUUUCGAUCCCCUAAACCUCCGGAGGGGCUGUACGGACUAGAGAAUGUCUAACAUCCUUUGAGGUGUGGCAUUACGCCUAGGCGGUAUAGCGUAAACGGACACUCGCUACUCUUCACCAGUUGUGGAGGACAAAGAUCUUCGGUGAAGUGGUAGUUGGCUAAAGGUAGACCGGUCAUCAGGUUUGGAUUUUUACCUAGGUACUCUUAGAUUUUCAGUUGGUUUUACAUUGGAAAAUCUUAUUUCAGUUUAUUUACUUUUUAUUCAACUGGCGCCUAUUAUUAUUAUUAUUUGGUUUUCAAACCUAGCUUGGGUGAUGUUUGAGCAGCGAGGAUGAAAGCUCACCCCUACUAUAGUUGCUCUUGCAGGUACUGUGCACGAGGAGAGGAUUCGGGACUGAGCUGGGUGUGGUGUUUUCACCCUAAAACUUGUUGGUAUAUUUGCACUCAUAUAUUCAAUUUCUUCUGUUCUAAUUGUUAUUGUUAAAUUGAGAUGAAGGUUUUGUUGUAAUGAUAUCCAUAUGUUCCUUUUAUCUUUAUUUAGUGUGAACUGAGUAUUUUGAGAUCAAUUUGAAUUUCAUGAUUCUUAUUCUCCAUUGUUCUAACAUGAUGGUUCCACCACUUUGUUGAUUGACAGAAGUUGUUAUAAAUUGCUGAUUAAGUUUUGAUUCACUUUAGUAUGUUUUCAAAUUACACUUAAAAAUGUUUCUAGUUAUUGCAUUUUUAACAAACAGGAACAAAAUAUUUAUUUUCACCUCGCCUUAAGCUAUACGCUUUCCGCCAACUCUUACUAUUUCUAAAGUUUCGGUUUUAGUAAAUUUGCCUUGCGUUUCUUUAGAACCCGUGUUAAGCUUCUUAACUUAUGUUUCUAAAGGUUCGCUGCAUUGUAACGUACUUGAUUUGGAGAGGUGCAAAUUGGGGC